This 272-nucleotide ribosomal RNA is filed under the name uncultured bacterium. Its description in RNAcentral is "partial 16S ribosomal RNA". It matches the Rfam family "Bacterial small subunit ribosomal RNA", at positions 525 to 796 of the family's 1533-position model. The record is from RNAcentral.
ACGGGGGGGGCAAGCGUUGUUCGGAAUUACUGGGCGUAAAGGGCGCGUAGGCGGUUUGCUAAGUUGGAUGUGAAAACUCUGGGCUCAACCCAGAGCCUGCAUCCAAAACUGGCAGGCUAGAGUUCUGGAGGGGAUAGCGGAAUUCCUGGUGUAGCGGUGAAAUGCGUAGAUAUCAGGAGGAACACCGGUGGCGAAGGCGGCUAUCUGGACAGAGUCUGACGCUGAGGCGCGAAAGCUAGGGGAGCAAACAGGAUUAGAAACCCCCGUAGUCC